RNAcentral lists this ribosomal RNA (216 nucleotides) under Glomeromycotina sp. RNAcentral describes it as "partial small subunit ribosomal RNA". The stretch from base 40 to 216 matches the Rfam family "Eukaryotic small subunit ribosomal RNA", at positions 686 to 864 of the family's 1831-position model. The record is from RNAcentral. Lineage: Eukaryota; Fungi; Glomeromycota.
GGGUCAGUAGGUUGGUCGUGCCACCGGUACGUAGUGGUCUCACUGAUUCCUCCUUCCUGUAGAACCGUAAUGCCAUUAAUUUGGUGUUGCGGGGAAACAGGACUGUUACUUUGAAAAAAUUAGAGUGUUUAAAGCAUGCUAACGCUUGAAUACAUUAGCAUGGAAUAAUGAAAUAGGACGAUCGAUCCUAUUUUGUUGGUUUCUAGGAUUGACGUA